AAAAAAGAGGCAGAGGAAGGGAAUGCCGCUGAUCAGGCAUCUUCAGCGAGAGCUCACAGAAGAAACAGUCACGUAUUGAGAAGCCAGCGAUGUUUGCUUCCUGUUUUAAGCCUCGAGGUUUGGAAGUCAAACACAGGGGAACAAAACACAGGUCACAGAAGAAAAUCUCGGUUUAUGCUCUAUAAUUCAUCAGCAGGAAGAAGACCUGUUGGUUUUGCCUCUGGAGAUGAGAGGUUGUUAUAUUCAAAUCAAAGCUAUGACCACUUGAAUGAAUUUCCUAUGCAACCGGGAACAUAUUCCCCCCGUGACAUAGGCAUGGGAUACUUCUCGAGCGGUGGAAAUGGAUAUCAUGCAUAGGAAUCACCAAAACAAGUUGCAAAGAAUCAAUGGGAAGAGGAACACGAGUGGACGAUGGGAUGCAGGCUAUUCUGAAUGCCCCAGUUCCAGUCUUGUCUGUUACUCCAACGGAUCUCAGCUUCAUGAUCUGGAAGAAUUACAGAACAGUACAGAUAUUGAUGAGUACAAAUUGAGAGAUGGAGCUGGUGCUGCAAGGCGCUUUGGCGAAGCUCAAGCGAGAAAGAGCAGAGAGUUUGAGGUACAAAGCAGAUCUAGCGAGAUUUUCUUCUGUGGACCCAAGCAACAAUGGGUUAGAAAGCUCAAGCGAAGGAUGAGUCGAUAGAUACCACUUUUGUUAGUCUGGGUUAUGUCACCUCUUGAGCAAAAGAAGAAAGCGGGAUUCGACAUGUCCUGUUCGUCACACGAGCUGGUCUUGACACUUGUCAUGUAUAUAACAUGACUUAAAACUUUUAUACAGUAGUUGGUUAUACCUAAGAGGAUAGUCAUAUAAUUACAAAAAAAAAAGAAAAGCGACCCCUUGUUUGAGUU
This is a long non-coding RNA of Arabidopsis lyrata subsp. lyrata, 885 nucleotides long. RefSeq lists it as uncharacterized. The record is from RefSeq and is a predicted model, not a curated record. NCBI's taxonomy places the organism in Eukaryota, Viridiplantae, Streptophyta, Magnoliopsida, Brassicales, Brassicaceae. The transcript is spliced from 3 exons.